AGACCUUGAUGGGGGCACAAACGCUGCAAAUCCUUAAAUGUUCCCAGGCUUCAUAGAGGGACUCCCCUGGCUCCUGCGAAAAUGUAGUGAUCUGGUGUCU
Molecule: non-coding RNA, 100 nt
Organism: Beta vulgaris subsp. vulgaris (sugar beet)
Lineage: Eukaryota; Viridiplantae; Streptophyta; Magnoliopsida; Caryophyllales; Amaranthaceae
Source: Rfam